RNAcentral lists this ribosomal RNA (405 nucleotides) under uncultured Anaeroplasma sp. RNAcentral describes it as "bacterial SSU rRNA". It matches the Rfam family "Bacterial small subunit ribosomal RNA", at positions 358 to 774 of the family's 1533-position model. Lineage: Bacteria; Bacillati; Mycoplasmatota; Mollicutes; Anaeroplasmatales; Anaeroplasmataceae. The record is from RNAcentral.
GGAAUUUUCGGCAAUGGGCAAAAGCCUGACCGAGCAAUGCCGCGUGAACGAAGAAGUAUUUCGGUAUGUAAAGUUCUUUUAUCAGGGAAGAAAAAACAAAUUGACUGAACCUGAUGAAUAAGCUCCGGCUAACUACGUGCCAGCAGCCGCGGUAAUACGUAGGGAGCGAGCGUUAUCCGGAAUUAUUGGGCGUAAAGGGUGCGUAGACGGCAAUAAAAGUUUCUUGUCAAAUAUCUUGGCUCAACCAAGUAACGCAAGAGAUACUGUAUAGCUAGAGUAUAGGAGAGGUAAGUGGAACUCCAUGUGUAGCGGUAAAAUGCGUAAAUAUAUGGAAGAACACCAGUGGCGAAGGCGGCUUACUAGCCUAAUACUGACGUUGAGGCACGAAAGCGUGGGGAGCAAACA